Non-coding RNA from Xylaria telfairii, 124 nucleotides. Lineage: Eukaryota; Fungi; Ascomycota; Sordariomycetes; Xylariales; Xylariaceae. The record is from the annotation of a GenBank genome assembly.
GCCCGCUUAGCUCAGCGGUAGAGCGCCUCACUAGUAAUGAGGAGGGAGCAAAGCGCCCUCACUCACUCACUCCCUCUCUCACUAGUUCAUGAGGAGGCAACUGGUUCGACUCCAGUAGUGGGCA